CCUACGCGAGGCAGCAGUGAGGAAUAUUGGUCAAUGGCCGUAAGGCUGAACCCGCCAAGUAGCGUGAGGGAAGACUGCCCUAUGGGUUGUAAACCUCUUUUAUGCGGGGAUAAAGGUGUCCACGUGUGGAUGUUUGCAGGUACCGCAUGAAUAAGGACCGGCUAAUUCCGUGCCAGCAGCCGCGGUACUACGGAAAGUCCGGUCGUUAUCCGGAUUUGUUUGGUUUAAAGGGAGCGUAGUCCGGUCUUUAAAUGUGCCGUGAAAUUUUGUGGCGCAACCAUGAGAGUGCGGGGCGAACUGGAGACCGUGAGAGCGCUGAAGGCAGGCGGAAGUCGUGGUGUAGCGGUGAAAUGCUUAGAGAUCACGAAGAACCCCGAGUGCGAGGGCAGCCUGCCGCAGCGUUACUGACGCUGUAGCUCGAAAGCGCGGGUAUCGAACAGGAGUAGAUACCCUUGUAGUC
Molecule: ribosomal RNA, 460 nt
Filed under: uncultured bacterium
Lineage: Bacteria
Description: partial 16S ribosomal RNA
Rfam family: Bacterial small subunit ribosomal RNA
Source: RNAcentral